Molecule: transfer RNA, 65 nt
Filed under: Helicostoa sinensis
Lineage: Eukaryota; Metazoa; Mollusca; Gastropoda; Littorinimorpha; Helicostoidae
Description: tRNA-His
Source: RNAcentral
UUAAGUUAGUUUAUAAAAAAAUAUCAACCUGUGGACUUGACGAAAAAAUUUAAUUUUACUUAACC